Pongo abelii (Sumatran orangutan) is the source of this 99-nucleotide small nucleolar RNA. NCBI's taxonomy places the organism in Eukaryota, Metazoa, Chordata, Mammalia, Primates, Hominidae. The record is from Ensembl.
AUCCUUGUGUAGUGCAUAAGUGUGACGACUGGGUUUUCCCACUCUUGUGAGGUGUGCCUCCUGCAAAUCUUAUGAUGUCUGCAUAUGACUUGUCUGACA